RNAcentral lists this long non-coding RNA (224 nucleotides) under Elaeis guineensis (African oil palm). Its description in RNAcentral is "long non-coding RNA (EGUI_LNC062693)". The record is from RNAcentral. Lineage: Eukaryota; Viridiplantae; Streptophyta; Magnoliopsida; Arecales; Arecaceae.
AUGGUGGAAGAAAUAAGGCUCUCUUCAAGGCACCCCUUUCUUUGAAGCUACAACCUAAACCCUAAGCCCUUGUUGCCACUCCUCUCUCUUUCUUUAUGUCGCUCAACCCCAGAUGAUUUUUCAUAUGGCUUUAGGGUCCUUUAAAUAGAGCUAGGGCUAGGGUUUUAUGAGAGAUGGGAGCAUGAAUAAAGGUCAUUGGAUCUUCAUGUUGCUUCUCCUCCAUC